This 254-nucleotide ribosomal RNA is filed under the name uncultured bacterium. RNAcentral describes it as "partial 16S ribosomal RNA". The stretch from base 28 to 254 matches the Rfam family "Bacterial small subunit ribosomal RNA", at positions 105 to 334 of the family's 1533-position model. The record is from RNAcentral.
CAAAACCAAAGCUGGCGACCGGCGCACGGUGAGUAACACGUAUCCAACCUGCCUCAUACUCGGGGAUAGCCUUUCGAAAGAAAGAUUAAUAUCCGAUAGCAUAUAUUUCCCGCAUGGGUUUUAUAUUAAAGAAAUUCGGUAUGAGAUGGGGAUGCGUUCCAUUAGUUUGUUGGGGGGUAACGGCCCACCAAGACUACGAUGGAUAGGGGUUCUGAGAGGAAGGUCCCCCACAUUGGAACUGAGACACGGUCCAA